GUGGGGAAUCUUAGACAAUGGGGGAAACCCUGAUCUAGCCAUGCCGCGUGAGCGAUGAAGGCCUUAGGGUUGUAAAGCUCUUUCAGCUGGGAAGAUAAUGACGGUACCAGCAGAAGAAGCCCCGGCUAACUCCGUGCCAGCAGCCGCGGUAAUACGGAGGGGGCUAGCGUUGUUCGGAAUUACUGGGCGUAAAGCGCACGUAGGCGGAUCAGAAAGUCAGAGGUGAAAUCCCAGGGCUCAACCUUGGAACUGCCUUUGAAACUCCUGAUCUUGAGGUCGAGAGAGGUGAGUGGAAUUCCGAGUGUAGAGGUGAAAUUCGUAGAUAUUCGGAGGAACACCAGUGGCGAAGGCGGCUCACUGGCUCGAUACUGACGCUGAGGUGCGAAAGCGUGGGGAGCAAACAGGAUUAGAAACCCCGGUAGUCC
This 425-nucleotide ribosomal RNA is filed under the name uncultured bacterium. RNAcentral's name for it is "partial 16S ribosomal RNA". It matches the Rfam family "Bacterial small subunit ribosomal RNA", at positions 354 to 796 of the family's 1533-position model. The record is from RNAcentral.